This is a long non-coding RNA of Rhinopithecus roxellana (golden snub-nosed monkey), 343 nucleotides long. RefSeq lists it as uncharacterized. Lineage: Eukaryota; Metazoa; Chordata; Mammalia; Primates; Cercopithecidae. The transcript has 3 exons. The record is from RefSeq and is a predicted model, not a curated record.
CAAGCUGCGGCACUAAAAUGACUUCCGCGUUGGGUUUCCUGGAACCUCUCGUUCCCCGUUCUCACCAGCUGCCUUCACCCUAUAAACUUGAUUUAAUUCAGUAAAGCAUAUAAAGCAUAUGGCUCAGUGCCAGCCACGAGGGAGGCCCCAAACGCCUGGCACCUGCUCUGCUCAUUUUCUCAAGAGAAAAACGAAGCUUGGUGAAUAGGCAUUGCAGAAAGGCCACUUGAGGAUGCAGCAAGAUGGUGACAUCUGCAACCCAAGAAGACAGCCCCACCAUGCUGGCAUCCUAAUGUUGAACUUCAAACCUACAGGGCUGUGAGGGAAUAAAUUUCUGUUGUUU